GUACCCUUGAGAAAAAAGGCCUUGCAUCAAAACAAGGUUCUGUAGCUGAACAUGAAGAAGAUUCUUCAGAUAAAAAAAGAAAAACUAAUAAACAGAAAUGGGUACCACUAGAGAUAGACUUAGCAAAAGGUAAUCCAAGAGAAAAUUCUCCAAAAAAAGGGGAAAGACACAAUUCAGAUGUGCAUAUGUCGGAUAAUGAGCACCUCUGUUCAUAUGCAAAAGAUAGUGACAGUGCACUACCUAAAAAAAACUUGCCAAGAGAAGGCAAAAGUCGUAGUAGGGGAACAAAAGUGUUGCAUUAUAAUAGAUCAAAUGCUAGAGCAAAUAGUGAAUCAAAAUAUUCUAGUAAAAGGAAUGAAAACUUAGAGCACACACAAUAU
Molecule: long non-coding RNA, 380 nt
Organism: Agrilus planipennis (emerald ash borer)
Lineage: Eukaryota; Metazoa; Arthropoda; Insecta; Coleoptera; Buprestidae
Exons: 3
Source: RefSeq, a predicted model, not a curated record